GCCGCGGUAACGACGGGUAACGGGGAAUCAGGGUUCGAUUCCGGAGAGGGGAGCCCGAGAAACGGCUACCACUUCCAAGGAAGGCAGCAGGCGCGCAACUUACCCUAAUCUCGAUUCGAGGAGGUAGUGACAAGAAAUACCGAUGCGGGACCCUACGGGUGCCGCGUUCGGAAUGAGUACGAUUCGAACCACCUAACGAGGAACGAUCGGAGGGCAAGUCUGGUGCCAGCAGCCGCGGUAAUUCCAGCUCCAAUAGCGUACGUUAAAGUUGCUGCAGUUAAAAAGCUCGUAGUUGAACGUUCGGGUUCCGCGGGACGGGGCCGCCCCGCGAGGGACGGCGCCGCCCCGGGGCUCGUGAUAUCUCAUCUCGCCGCCCCGUCGCGAGGCGGACGGAGGGAUGGAUGAGG
RNAcentral lists this ribosomal RNA (407 nucleotides) under uncultured eukaryote. Its description in RNAcentral is "bacterial SSU rRNA". It matches the Rfam family "Eukaryotic small subunit ribosomal RNA", at positions 343 to 748 of the family's 1831-position model. The record is from RNAcentral.